Long non-coding RNA from Hippocampus comes (tiger tail seahorse), 105 nucleotides. RefSeq lists it as uncharacterized. The transcript is spliced from 3 exons. The record is from RefSeq and is a predicted model, not a curated record. NCBI's taxonomy places the organism in Eukaryota, Metazoa, Chordata, Actinopteri, Syngnathiformes, Syngnathidae.
GCAGUUACCACAGUGGACAGCUUAUCAUUGUUUGUGAUGCAUAAAGUUAUGAAAUUGUGACGGAAGUGACGUAACAGCGCACAGUAUGGCCCCUGCUUCCCGCCG